Molecule: ribosomal RNA, 816 nt
Filed under: uncultured bacterium
Lineage: Bacteria
Description: bacterial SSU rRNA
Rfam family: Bacterial small subunit ribosomal RNA
Source: RNAcentral
UUUGAUCCUGGCUCAGGAUGAACGCUGGCGGCGUGCUUAACACAUGCAAGUCGAACGGAAAGGCCCUGCUUGCAGGGUACUCGAGUGGCGAACGGGUGAGUAACACGUGGGUGAUCUGCCCUGUACUUCGGGAUAAGCCUGGGAAACUGGGUCUAAUACCGGAUAGGACCGUCUUUUAGUGUAGGCGGUGGAAAGACUUCGGUCGGUAGGGGAUGAGCUUGCGGCCUAUCAGCUUGUUGGUGGGGUAAUGGCCUACCAAGGCGUCGACGGGUAGCCGGCCUGAGAGGGUGUACGGCCACAUUGGGACUGAGAUACGGCCCAGACUCCUACGGGAGGCAGCAGUGGGGAAUAUUGCACAAUGGGCGCAAGCCUGAUGCAGCGACGCCGCGUGNGGGAUGACGGCCUUCGGGUUGUAAACUCCUUUCGCCAGGGACGAAGCGUUAUAGUGACGGUACCUGGAUAAGAAGCACCGGCUAACUACGUGCCAGCAGCCGCGGUAAUACGUAGGGUGCAAGCGUUGUCCGGAAUUACUGGGCGUAAAGAGCUCGUAGGUGGUUUGUCACGUCGUCUGUGAAAGUCCAGCGCUUAACGCUGGGAUUGCAAGCCAUACCGGGCUGACUUGAGUGCUUGAAGGGAAACUGGAAUUCCUGGUGUACCGGUGAAAUGCGCAGAUAUCAAGAGGAACCCCAAUGGCAAAAGGCGGUCUCCGGGCAAUGACUGACCCUGAAGAACCAAAGCAUGGGUACCCAACAGGAUAAAAACCCCGGGAUUCCCCUGCCCGUAACCGGGGGGGCCCCAGGGGGGGGGGAACCUUCC